UACGUAGGGGGCAAGCGUUGUCCGGAAUUAUUGGGCGUAAAGAGCGCGUAGGCGGCCAGAUAAGUCCGCUGUGAAAUCUCGAGGCUCAACUUCGAGCUGUCGGUGGAAACUAUCUGGCUAGAGUCCGGAAGAGGAGAAUGGAAUUCCUGGUGUAGCGGUGAAAUGCGCAGAUAUCAGGAAGAACACCCGUGGCGAAGGCGGUUCUCUGGGACGGUACUGACGCUGAGACGCGAAAGCGUGGGGAGCGAACAGG
This 253-nucleotide ribosomal RNA is filed under the name uncultured bacterium. Its description in RNAcentral is "partial 16S ribosomal RNA". It matches the Rfam family "Bacterial small subunit ribosomal RNA", at positions 524 to 776 of the family's 1533-position model. The record is from RNAcentral.